CAGGCCACAGUCCUCAUACCUUAAUAGGCAGUGGUGGUGCUGGUGGUAGAGGCCAGCUAUUUUGGCUUUCGACAUAGACUUCACACCAACCGCUAUUGCUCCUCCUCCUCCUCCUUCCUUCCCCUUUUCUUCCCCACCCCAUUCCUUAAAUGCCCGCCAUUAUUCUAUUUAUAUAAUUCUAUCUCUUCUACACUCCGAUAUUCUUCUUUGUAUAUAAUAUAUUCACACACUGAUUUACUCCCUUCACAUUCUC
RNAcentral lists this unclassified non-coding RNA (253 nucleotides) under Hevea brasiliensis (rubber tree). Lineage: Eukaryota; Viridiplantae; Streptophyta; Magnoliopsida; Malpighiales; Euphorbiaceae. The record is from RNAcentral.